Molecule: ribosomal RNA, 253 nt
Filed under: uncultured bacterium
Lineage: Bacteria
Description: partial 16S ribosomal RNA
Rfam family: Bacterial small subunit ribosomal RNA
Source: RNAcentral
UACGUAGGGGGCAAGCGUUGUCCGGAAUCAUUGGGCGUAAAGCGCGUGUAGGCGGUUCGGUAAGUCUGCUGUGAAAGUCCAGGGCUCAACCCUGGGAUGCCGGUGGAUACUGUCGGGCUAGAGUGCGGAAGAGGCGAGUGGAAUUCCCGGUGUAGCGGUGAAAUGCGCAGAUAUCGGGAGGAACACCAAUUGCGAAGGCAGCUCGCUGGGACGUCACUGACGCUGAGACGCGAAAGCGUGGGGAGCGAACAGG